GACGAACGCUGGCGGCGUGCUUAACACAUGCAAGUCGAACGGAAAGGCCCUGCUUUUGUGGGGUGCUCGAGUGGCGAACGGGUGAGUAACACGUGAGUAACCUGCCCUUGACUUUGGGAUAACUUCAGGAAACUGGGGCUAAUACCGGAUAGGAGCUCCUGCUGCAUGGUGGGGGUUGGAAAGUUUCGGCGGUUGGGGAUGGACUCGCGGCUUAUCAGCUUGUUGGUGGGGUAGUGGCUUACCAAGGCUUUGACGGGUAGCCGGCCUGAGAGGGUGACCGGCCACAUUGGGACUGAGAUACGGCCCAGACGCCUACGGGAGGCAGCAGUGGGGAAGAUUGCACAAUGGGCGGAAGCCUGAUGCAGCAACGCCGCGUGCGGGAUGACGGCCUUCGGGUUGUAAACCGCUUUCGCCUGUGACGAAGCGUGAGUGACGGUAAUGGGUAAAGAAGCACCGGCUAACUACGUGC
This 469-nucleotide ribosomal RNA is filed under the name uncultured bacterium. Its description in RNAcentral is "partial 16S ribosomal RNA". It matches the Rfam family "Bacterial small subunit ribosomal RNA", at positions 28 to 508 of the family's 1533-position model. The record is from RNAcentral.